UGGGGAAUAUUGGACAAUGGAGGGAACUCUGAUCCAGCAAUUCUGUGUGUGUGAAGAAGGUUUUAGGACUGUAAAACACUUUUAGUAGGGAAGAAAAAAAUGACGGUACCUACAGAAGAAGCAACGGCUAAAUACGUGCCAGCAGCCGCGGUAAUACGUAUGUUGCGAUCGUUAUCCGGAAUUAUUGGGCUUAAAGGGCAUCUAGGCGGUAAGACAAGUUGAAGGUGAAAACCUGUGGCUCAACCAUAGGCUUGCCUACAAAACUGUUGAACUAGAGUACUGGAAAGGUGGGUUGAACUACACGAGUAGAGGUGAAAUUCGUAGAUAUGUGUAGGAAUGCCGAUGAUGAAGAUAACUCACUGGACAGAAACUGACGCUGAAGUGCGAAAGCUAGGGGAGCAAACAGG
This 407-nucleotide ribosomal RNA is filed under the name Verrucomicrobiota bacterium. Its description in RNAcentral is "Verrucomicrobia bacterium partial 16S ribosomal RNA". It matches the Rfam family "Bacterial small subunit ribosomal RNA", at positions 355 to 776 of the family's 1533-position model. Lineage: Bacteria; Pseudomonadati; Verrucomicrobiota. The record is from RNAcentral.